UUCCCUUUGUCAUCCUAUGCCUGAGCCAUAAAAGGAGGCUGGGAUGGUAAGGGGAGGU
RNAcentral lists this microRNA precursor (58 nucleotides) under Microcaecilia unicolor. RNAcentral describes it as "Mun-Mir-204-P4_pre stem-loop". It matches the Rfam family "mir-204 microRNA precursor family", at positions 16 to 74 of the family's 89-position model. The record is from RNAcentral. Lineage: Eukaryota; Metazoa; Chordata; Amphibia; Gymnophiona; Siphonopidae.